GCUAACUGAAAUCAAUCUACAUAUAAAUAUUGAUUGAUAACGUAAGGGAAAAUUAUGAUAUUACCUUACUAUUAGUGUCGUCCAAAUCUGGUGCCAGAAGACUCGGUAAGGCCAGAGACGCAAACGUUAAUCGUCUUAAACAGGCGUAAAGGGUUUGUAGGCUGCUUUGAAUAUUAUCUUUUAAAUUACUUAAUGGUAACAUAGCGCAUUAGAUAAUUAAUCAAAGCUAGAAUCAAAUAGAGGUUAUAUUAUAUAAUGCUUAAAGUAGGUCUAAUAUCCUAACAGAUUAAGUGGAAUAUUAAAAGCGAAGGCUUAUUUACCAUAAAUGAUUGACGCUGAGAAACGAAGGUGAGGAUAGGAAAUAGGAUUAGAUACCCAAAAUACCCCUCUCUGUCAACGAUGAAUGGUGGUUGCUAAUUAUAAAAUUAGUAGCUAUGUUAACACGAUAACCAUUCCGCCUUGUGAGUACGACUGCAAAGUUGAAAACAAAAAAAUUAGUCGGUUUCGGAGCAA
RNAcentral lists this ribosomal RNA (513 nucleotides) under Amylostereum laevigatum. RNAcentral's name for it is "partial small subunit ribosomal RNA". It matches the Rfam family "Bacterial small subunit ribosomal RNA", at positions 399 to 928 of the family's 1533-position model. Lineage: Eukaryota; Fungi; Basidiomycota; Agaricomycetes; Russulales; Stereaceae. The record is from RNAcentral.